Molecule: ribosomal RNA, 321 nt
Filed under: Triticum aestivum (bread wheat)
Lineage: Eukaryota; Viridiplantae; Streptophyta; Magnoliopsida; Poales; Poaceae
Description: partial small subunit ribosomal RNA
Source: RNAcentral
AUGCUAUUUUGGGCUCGACCAUGUUAUGUGUACCUCAAAUUGAAGAUGCCUGGUCCCAAAGGUGUGAUCACUAUUACUGGCAAUCGAAAGAAGGCGGAAGAGUGCUUUCAGAAAGGCUCAAAGAUCGCCGAUGCUCAGAUGGAAGUGGUAGAGCUGCAGGAAUACCAGAAAAGUGCAGACCCGAGUGAUUUGUUGCGAGCCAAGAAGCCCGCUACGGAAUCAAUGUUUCAGUCGUCCGGCGAGACGAAAUCGAUUCACAUUCACCCGACCGACCCCAAUGCUGCUCCGACUCAUAUCUCUACAUCACUCGACUCCAAAUAG